AGCGAACGCUGGCGGCAGGCCUAACACAUGCAAGUCGAACGAACCUUUCGGGGUUAGUGGCGGACGGGUGAGUAACACGUGGGAACGUGCCUUUAGGUUCGGAAUAACUCAGGGAAACUUGUGCUAAUACCGAAUGUGCCCUUCGGGGGAAAGAUUUAUCGCCUUUUGAGCGGCCCGCGUCUGAUUAGCUAGUUGGUUGAGGUAAUGGCUCACCAAGGCGACGAUCAGUAGCUGGUCUAAGAGGAUGAUCAGCCACAUUGGGACUGAGACACGGCGCAAACUGCUACGGGAGGCAGCGGUGGGGAGUCGUGCGCAAUGGGCUAAAGCCGGAGGCAGCGUGGUCGCGUGGGGGAGGAUGGCGUACGAGGUGUAAAGUGCUGUAGCUCGGAACAGGGCGCAAUGUUGGGUGUGUGAAGGGAAGGGGUAGAUAAGCGCCGGCUAACUACGUG
This 449-nucleotide ribosomal RNA is filed under the name uncultured bacterium. RNAcentral's name for it is "partial 16S ribosomal RNA". It matches the Rfam family "Bacterial small subunit ribosomal RNA", at positions 30 to 507 of the family's 1533-position model. The record is from RNAcentral.